This 218-nucleotide ribosomal RNA is filed under the name uncultured bacterium. RNAcentral describes it as "partial 16S ribosomal RNA". It matches the Rfam family "Bacterial small subunit ribosomal RNA", at positions 524 to 738 of the family's 1533-position model. The record is from RNAcentral.
UACGUAGGGUGCAAGCGUUAAUCGGAAUUACUGGGCGUAAAGCGUGCGCAGGCGGUUAUGUAAGACAGAUGUGAAAUGCCCGGGCUUAACCUGGGAACUGCAUUUGUGACUGCAUGGCUAGAAUCUGGCAGAGGGGGGGUAGAAUUCCACGUGUAGCAGUGAAAUGCGUAGAGAUGUGGAGGAACACCGAUGGCGGAAGGCAGCCCCCCUGGGUUAAC